UCUCCGUAGGUGAGCCUGCGGAAGGAUCAUUAAAAAAUUGGACUCCAUUGGUGAGUUCAUUAAUAAUCCCUACCCUUUGUGAAUUUGUUUGUUUGAAUAAUUUUUUUUCCAAAAAAAAUUAUUGAAUGUCUUUCCUUGUCUUGGUGGAGCUUGUAAAGUGAAACCAGGCAGGGGAAUGGCAAACAAUAAUUAUUUUUGAAAAAGACCUUUUUUUAAAAUUAAACUUUUUGUAUUCAUUUGUCUAAAAUUAAUUUUUAUAAUAUAAAAACAACUUUUGACAAUGGAUCUCUUGGUUCUCGCAACGAUGAAGAACGCAGCAAAAUGCGAUAAGUAGUGUGAAUUGCAGAAUACGUGAAUCAUCGAAUCUUCGAACGCAUAUUGCACUUUUUUAGUUUACUAAAAAAGUAUGUCUGUUUGAGUAUCAGUAAAAUAUUCUCAUAAGAAACAUUGUUUUUUUUAUGGUUAUGAGUGUUUUACAACGAUAACAAGUUGUUUCACUUUAAAUUCUUUGUUAUCAAAAAAAUCAUUAAAAGCUAAUUUUAAAGAUUUUUAAAAUUGGAUAAAAUUUUCCCGUAAAAAGGAAUAACCUAAACAAUUUUAAAAAAUUAAAAUUGGUUUGAUUCUUUUUGAAACCCAAAGGAAAAAAAAACGAAAUUAACUUGAUCUCAAAUCAGAUAAGAGUACCCGCUGAACUUAAGCAUAUCAAUAAGCGGAGGAAAAGAAACUAACUAGGAUUCCCUCAGUAACGGCGAGUGAAGCGGGAAGAGCUCAAAUUUGAAAUCUUCAAGGUUUUACCUUGACGAAUUGUAGUUUAAAGAAGUGUUUUCUGUUGGAGUUUUGGUAAAAGUUCUUUGGAAAAGGACAUCAUAGAGGGUGAGAAUCCCGUAUUUGACCAUUAUCUCCAGCUUUGUGAUACACUUUCAAGAGUCGGAUUGUUUGGGAAUGCAGUCCAAAAUGGGUGGUAAAUUUCAUCUAAAGCUAAAUACUGGCGAGAGACCGAUAGCGAACAAGCACCGUGAGGGAAAGAUGAAAAGAACUUUGAAAAGAGAGUUAAACAGUACGUGAAAUUGUCAAAAGGGAAGCGUUUGACACCAGUGUUGUUUUCUCGAAAAUCAAUUAAAAAAGGCCGGAUUUUGUGUUGUAUUGACUUUAUCAGCUUUCUGCACUCUUUUCUUGUCUUUUUUAAUGCACUUUUCGUUUAACAAGUCAACAUCAAUUUCUUUUGUUGUAAAAGGGUCAUUGGAAGGUGGCUUUCUUUUCGGAGAAAGUGUUUAUAGCCUUUGGCCUCUGCAAUCGGAGAGAUUGAGGUCUGCAGCGUAGAUCCUUCGGGGUUAGAUACAUUUGUGCUAAGUUAUAGCCUUUCAUAGACAACUUGUUGACUAUGAUCAGUCAUGUAGCUUACUCGCUUAUGCUAUU
Molecule: unclassified non-coding RNA, 1416 nt
Filed under: uncultured Neocallimastigales
Lineage: Eukaryota; Fungi; Neocallimastigomycota; Neocallimastigomycetes; Neocallimastigales
Description: partial contains small subunit ribosomal RNA, internal transcribed spacer 1, 5.8S ribosomal RNA, internal transcribed spacer 2, and large subunit ribosomal RNA
Rfam family: Eukaryotic large subunit ribosomal RNA (bases 661-1416)
Source: RNAcentral